Molecule: microRNA, 21 nt
Filed under: Citrus sinensis (sweet orange)
Lineage: Eukaryota; Viridiplantae; Streptophyta; Magnoliopsida; Sapindales; Rutaceae
Description: csi-miR482f-3p
Gene: csi-miR482f-3p
Source: miRBase by way of RNAcentral
UUUUCCCACACCUCCCAUCCC